GUAUUUUUCCAAUGCCGCCCAUGCCAACAAUGCAGUUAGCAAACACGCAUCUUCUUAGUUGUUUCAUGCUUUUGGGAAACUUCAUAUUCUCAUAUAGAUCUGUUGGUAAAAGAAACAAAGAGAAAUUGUACUUGGUGGCAGAUUCACUCAAACCUAAACAUUUUCAUAUUUCAAGCACCGAACAAAAUUAAAAACAGCUAAAUUCAGCAUUUUGACACGCGAAAUUAAAAUAGUAAUAGAAAGAAUGUAUUCCUGCUGCUACAUCAACGUGAAGGCCAAUAUAUUUUACAUGCUUGAACCGCGAAAUUACUUAUCUCUGUAAAUAAAUCCACAACAACAGGGGGGAAAUGAGAAAAGAAGGCACAACCUCUAAGUGAUGUAGCCAAACGACGACGUAUUUGGGUGUGGAACCUUGUUUAUAGCUGGAGCAAGUAGAGUAACCGGAGUUGGUGGCCGCGUGUCAAUCCACUCCAAAUUCUCUAGCGGUUUGCCCAGUGUACAAUGUUUAAUCUAAAAGUUGGCUAAAUUUUGGUUAAUACCUAUUGUUCAACAUUAUCCAUGAAUUAAGCAAUGAAGAUAAGACUUUCUAGUCUGUACAGAUUCUGCACAAAAAUAAAAAAUAAAAAGAAUACAACUAUUGCUGUAUGCUUCUCAAGCUGAAGAUUCAGACGCAUAAGAAAGAAAUGAGUUAAUUUUUACCGUAAAUAAUUUACAUGCUAGUAAAUCUAAACUAACUAGAUUUGCAUUGAAGAAUUUCCAACACCAUAAUUUGUUUUCUUUGUCUAAUGUUGGAUUAUUUUGAUAGACCUACAAAAUAUUCGUAGUAUUUUUUUAGAUCUAAAAGAUGCUCGACUCAAACGGUGGAUUCUUUGGUAAGGCCAAAAAAAUAUAAAAUCAAACUUCCAAAACACCCAAAUAGCCUACCGCUUACCUGUUGUUGGUUAGUUGAGCGUUGGAAACUGCUGCUACUGCGGAGUGGGGCCGACGGAGGAGAAGCGGUGGGGCUGCUGUCAACAGAGAUAUUCAAGUGCCUGAGAUUCAGCAAAAUGAACUAAUCUGCUUUAUGCAUUCAGCAAGAGUGAAUUCUUCCAGCAAGACCGAUUAGGUGAAGUUCGAGAGAUUUAUUUUUGUGAUGUAUAAUGGAUUCAGCCAACAAAAAUAUUGCAUAUACCUUAAGCUUUAGGGAGAGACAGUGGUGGUGAUAGCUGAGGCGGCCAAAUGCAGAUGUGAGACGGAUGUGGUGGCGGCUGAGGCAGCGCCGUGUCGUAGUGGAGCUAGUGGUGCAGCGAGUCGAGGUAACCGGUGCCGGGUCGGUGGCAAACGGCGGCGGCUGAGAGUUGUGGAUUUGUGGCCUGGGCGGGUAUGAAGAAUGGAGGCGC
RNAcentral lists this long non-coding RNA (1379 nucleotides) under Salvia miltiorrhiza (redroot sage). Its description in RNAcentral is "long non-coding RNA (SMIL_LNC004988)". The record is from RNAcentral. Lineage: Eukaryota; Viridiplantae; Streptophyta; Magnoliopsida; Lamiales; Lamiaceae.